GUAAUAAAUUCAUCUUAAAUGAAGAGUAAUUAAGGCUGGUCUGAUAACAUCUUGUCGGUUGGUAUUUUUAUUAUAGUAGUGGUUUAUUUUAUAAUAAUUAGCAAGAAUUGAAGUCAAAAAGUUAUAAUUGCAAGAGAAAAUGUACUCAACGUCUAAACAUUUCACGCUCGGACACCACAACAAACACUCGUUCGGAUUUCCGCGGACGCGCCGCUAAAACAUUGUACCAUGUAAACCUAUAUUUCAUCAACUUUUGAAGCAUUAAGAAAAAUACUUAUUUUUUGCCUUUUUUGAUAAAAAAAAAUUGUGUUGAAAAUAUGAACGUUUGCGGGUUUUAGGUUCCAUAAAAAUGUGGAGCAAAGAAGAACGAAAGUAAUAAAAAAAAAUGGAACAAAAACAUGUCAUUUCUGCCAGGACAAUCCUUUAUCAAUUUAGUAAAAUUACAUAAAUAAGUAAGUUUAUUAACCUACAAAUAUUUAUUUCACAUGGUAUUUCAGCAACUGGUGCCCUGUGUUUGACUGUAAAUAUGAAUAUUGAGACAUUUAUAUACUGAAUAUUGAACAUUUUUUGUGCGUGCAGAUGUAUGAAAAGACAAGUAUUUUAUAUUUGGAUUUUUUCUAUACUUUAAAGUAUUUAAGUAACAACAGAUAUCCCAUAUAAGGUAAGUAAUCAUCAAAUAUUUUGUGAUUUGAUAAGAUAUCUAUGAAAUAUUGUAAGUUUAGCUUUUCUAUAAAAGGAGAAUUGAUUAAGUAAUGAGCAAAUAUUCACAUAAAAGGUAAAACAUGCGCAAAUAUUUCCAUAUAAGGUAAGACAUGAGCAAAUAUUUCCAUAUAUGGUAAGGCAUAAGCAAACAUUUCCAUAUAAGGUAAGGCAUGAGCAAAUAUUCCCAUAUAUGGUAAGGCAUGAGCAAAUAUUCCCAUAUAAGGUAAGGCAUUAACAAAUAUUUCCAUAUAAAGUAAUGCAUGAGCAAAUAUUUCCAUAUAAGGUAAGGCAUUAACAAAUAUUUCCAUAUAAGGUAAGGCAUGAUAUCAGAUUUUGUUCUUUGCACUGUAUUUCUUGAAUUUUCUUUGUACCGCAUUGCAUUUUGAUUAAGGUAUUGGCAACAAAUAGAGUUUUUUUCUACAGUUCUUGGGUAAGUAGAUAAUUAUCUCUUAUCAUAUUCUUGCACCGUCAGAACAUUCUACUGUUUGCUUUGUGUCGUGUUUCAGUGUUUUAUUUAACUUAGCAAGUUCCAUAUUUCCUGAUACUGGUUGGGUCAACGUCCAAGAAUCGCCAGGCCCUACUUGAUGGGAGUGCUCUUCUAUUCUCUCAUCAUUUGGACCGAUUAUGAGUUUUAAAGCUCAUUGGAUUACUGGUGUGAAGGUCAACUCAUUACAAGGAGGGUCUCAAAGAAGUGUGUUGAAUCAGUUUGUUGCGUCCAAACUGCACUGAAGAUGAUCUCGGGUUUCAAGGUUUGUUGGGAUUCCAGAAAAUUGCCCUAGAAAGCUUCACACACCUGAAUUUCGGGUUUGAUGACCUCUUGUCAUGUUAGUGAAAGGAAGGAGGUCCAUGAAAUUGGCGAAGGGUAGAAAAGCCUUUGCUGUGUCGACCAGCCACUCUUUCUUGUACUGUCAACUUGAAGCCUACAAUACAACCUCCCAGGGACAGAGAUUUAAUCCACAGCAGGUGAAAAUAGAACGGCUGGAAAUGUAAAGAUGGCCCUACAGUUAACAAUGUUUUAUCUAAAUAUUGUCAAUUGUGCCUUAUUGGUCUUCCUUCUUCUUGAUACUUCUGUGAGUUCCAUGGACUAUACCUCAGUUGCUACGACGUACACCCAGGAUACACCAGAAAGCACCAUGUUUCCAGAAUCAUCAAAUUUGACCCAACCAACAGUUGUGGCGUCAACCGACGAAACAGAAAACAUCUCUGAAAC
This is a long non-coding RNA of Spea bombifrons (plains spadefoot toad), 1912 nucleotides long. RefSeq lists it as uncharacterized. The transcript has 4 exons. NCBI's taxonomy places the organism in Eukaryota, Metazoa, Chordata, Amphibia, Anura, Pelobatidae. The record is from RefSeq and is a predicted model, not a curated record.